Long non-coding RNA from Sapajus apella (tufted capuchin), 481 nucleotides. RefSeq lists it as uncharacterized. The record is from RefSeq and is a predicted model, not a curated record. The transcript is spliced from 2 exons. Lineage: Eukaryota; Metazoa; Chordata; Mammalia; Primates; Cebidae.
CCUCCACCGCAGUCCCCACCCCCACCCUCCACUGCAGCACCACCACUGUGGCUUGAGCCAGGCACCCUGGGCUUCUGAGUGCCCACUCCUCGGUGGCAGUGGCACUGGCAUAAGGCUGGCUCUCAGUGCUGCUGGCUAUAGGGUCCACUGCCACGUUGGGUGCCAGAGAUAGGUUCCAGCUCUACAGGGUUCUGUGAGCCGCUCCUGGCUAAUGUGGAGAUGAGAAAUUGUAGAAAUAAAAGACACAAGACACAGAGAUGGAGAAAAGAGAGUUUAGGCCCAGGGGUCCACUGCUAACCAGAUCGCAGAGACCUGCGGCCCCGAGUGCCGGGAGGCUCUCACUUUUAUUGAGCUGCAAAUCUGGGGACAGGGUCAAGUACAUCACCUGUCAUUCAGGUAGGGGCUCAGGAAUUUCUGGCACCCGAAGUGAGGUAAGGAGCAUAAUGCAUCAGCACCUUUUCCAUACUUAUCAAGAAAGAAC